AGUGAAUGCUGGCGGCAGGCUUAACACAUGCAAGUCGAGCGGGGUGAUGGUGCUUGCACUAUCACUCAGCGGUGGACGGGUGAGUAAUGCUUAGGAAUCUGCCUAGUAGUGGGGGACAACAUCCCGAAAGGGAUGCUAAUACCGCAUACGUCCUACGGGAGAAAGCUGGUGAUCACUUGUGACCUUGCGCUACUAGAUCAGCCCAAGUCGGAUUAGCUAGUUGGUGGGGUAAAGGCCUACCAAGGCGACGAUCUGUAGCGGGUCUGCGAGGGUGAUCCGCCACACUGGGACUGAGACACGGCCCAGACUCCUACGGGAGGCAGCAGUGGGGAAUAUUGGACAAUGGGGGGAACCCUGAUCCAGCCAUGCCGGGUGUGUGAAGAAGGCCUUAUGGUUGUAAAGCACUUUAAGCGAGGAGGAGGCUCUUUUGGUUAAUACCCAAGAUGAGUGGACGUUACUCGCAGAAUAAGCACCGGCUAACUCUGUGCCAGCCGCCGCGGUAA
RNAcentral lists this ribosomal RNA (503 nucleotides) under uncultured bacterium. RNAcentral's name for it is "partial 16S ribosomal RNA". It matches the Rfam family "Bacterial small subunit ribosomal RNA", at positions 29 to 523 of the family's 1533-position model. The record is from RNAcentral.